GACGAACGCUGGCGGCGUGCCUAACACAUGCAAGUCGAACGGAGUGUUUAUUUAUAAACACUUAGUGGCGAACGGGUGGGUAACGCGUAGACAACCUACCCUCUAGAUGGGGACAACACCGCGAAAGUGGUGCUAAUACCGAAUGUUGUAAUGUUAUUGCAUAAUGAUAUUACUAAAGGUGGCCUCUAUAUAAAAGCUACCUCUAGAAGAUGGGUCUGCGUCUGAUUAGCUAGUUGGUGAGAUAACAGCUCACCAAGGCAAUGAUCAGUUGCCGGUCUGAGAGGAUGAACGGCAACACUGGGACUGAGACACGGCCCAGACUCCUACGGGAGGCAGCAGUGGGGAAUCUUCCGCAAUGGACGAAAGUCUGACGGAGCAACGCCGCGUGAGUGAAGAAGGUUUUCGGAUCGUAAAGCUCUGUCUUCAAGGACGAAUGUAGAUAUUGUGAAUAAUGAUAUUUAAUGACGGUACUUGAGGAGGAAGCCACGGCUAACUACGUGCCAGCAGCCGCCGUAA
Molecule: ribosomal RNA, 516 nt
Filed under: uncultured bacterium
Lineage: Bacteria
Description: partial 16S ribosomal RNA
Rfam family: Bacterial small subunit ribosomal RNA
Source: RNAcentral